AUUAAAAAAGCUAAAAAGUAUAAAAAUUUUAUAAAAACUAAUAUAUACUGGCAGCAUUUCACCUUAUUAGAGGAACAUGUCCCUUAAUCGAAAAUACACGCUAAUUUUCACUUUCUUCAAAAUUUUAUAUACCUCCGUAUAGAAUUUUUUUUUAAACUUUUUCAAAAAAAAAAUCUAAUAAAAUAGGUAAAGGUGUAAACUAUAUCUAAGAUGCUAUGUGUUACGCUAAAUGAAAUUUAAAAUUUUUCCUUCAAAAAACACCAUGCAGGAUCUAAAAGUAAUAUUUUAAUAAAAAUUAUAUUUGAAUAAGUUAAUAAAUGUGC
This 323-nucleotide ribosomal RNA is filed under the name Gelanor sp. GH1574. Its description in RNAcentral is "partial 12S ribosomal RNA". Lineage: Eukaryota; Metazoa; Arthropoda; Arachnida; Araneae; Mimetidae. The record is from RNAcentral.